GGGGGGCGGGGGGGGGGGGCGGGGGAGGGGCGGGGCGGAGGGGGGAGCCCGGCUGGCGGGGUGGAUGAGUGGCGAACGGGUGAGUAACACGUGAGUAACCUGCCCUUAACUCUGGGAUAAGCCGGGGAAACUGGGUCUAAUACCGGAUAGGAGCGCCUACCGCAUGGUGGGUGUUGGAAAGAUUUAUCGGGUUUGGAUGGACUCGCGGCCUAUCAGCUUGUUGGUGAGGUAAUGGCUCACCAAGGCGACGACGGGUAGCCGGCCUGAGAGGGUGACCGGCCACACUGGGACUGAGACACGGCCCAGACUCCUACGGGAGGCAGCAGUGGGGAAUAUUGCACAAUGGGCGAAAGCCUGAUGCAGCGACGCCGCGUGAGGGAUGACGGCCUUCGGGUUGUAAACCUCUUUCAGUAGGGAAGAAGCGAAAGUGACGGUACCUGCAGAAGAAGCACCGGCUAACUACGUG
RNAcentral lists this ribosomal RNA (466 nucleotides) under uncultured bacterium. Its description in RNAcentral is "partial 16S ribosomal RNA". The stretch from base 52 to 466 matches the Rfam family "Bacterial small subunit ribosomal RNA", at positions 35 to 507 of the family's 1533-position model. The record is from RNAcentral.